GACGAACGCUGGCGGCGUGCUUAACACAUGCAAGUCGAACGGUGAACCUCUUCGGAGGGGAUCAGUGGCGAACGGGUGAGUAACACGUGGGCAACCUGCCCCCGGCUCUGGGAUAACUCCAAGAAAUUGGGGCUAAUACCGGAUGUUCACCGCUUCCUGCAUGGGUGGUGGUGGAAAGGGUUUCCGGCUGGGGAUGGGCCCGCGGCCUAUCAGCUUGUUGGUGGGGUAGUGGCCUACCAAGGCGACGACGGGUAGCCGGCCUGAGAGGGUGACCGGCCACACUGGGACUGAGACACGGCCCAGACUCCUACGGGAGGCAGCAGUGGGGAAUAUUGCGCAAUGGGCGGAAGCCUGACGCAGCGACGCCGCGUGGGGGAUGACGGCCCUCGGGUUGUAAACCUCUUUCAGCAGGGACGAAGCGCAAGUGACGGUACCUGCAGAAGAAGCACCGGCCAACUACGUG
Molecule: ribosomal RNA, 463 nt
Filed under: uncultured bacterium
Lineage: Bacteria
Description: partial 16S ribosomal RNA
Rfam family: Bacterial small subunit ribosomal RNA
Source: RNAcentral